This 467-nucleotide ribosomal RNA is filed under the name uncultured bacterium. Its description in RNAcentral is "partial 16S ribosomal RNA". It matches the Rfam family "Bacterial small subunit ribosomal RNA", at positions 28 to 507 of the family's 1533-position model. The record is from RNAcentral.
GAUGAACGCUGGCGGCGUGCUUAACACAUGCAAGUCGAACGGAAAGGCCCAAGCUUGCUUGGGUACUCGAGUGGCGAACGGGUGAGUAACACGUGGGUGAUCUGCCCUGCACUUCGGGAUAAGCCUGGGAAACUGGGUCUAAUACCGGAUAGGACCACUUCUUGGAUGUUGUGGUGGAAAGUUUUUUCGGUGUGGGAUGAGCUCGCGGCCUAUCAGCUUGUUGGUGGGGUAAUGGCCUACCAAGGCGUCGACGGGUAGCCGGCCUGAGAGGGUGUACGGCCGCAUUGGGACUGAGAUACGGCCCAGACUCCUACGGGAGGCAGCAGUGGGGAAUAUUGCACAAUGGGCGCAAGCCUGAUGCAGCGACGCCGCGUGGGGGAUGACGGCCUUCGGGUUGUAAACUCCUUUCGCUAGGGACGAAGCGUUUUGUGACGGUACCUGGAGAAGAAGCACCGGCUAACUACGUG